Molecule: ribosomal RNA, 549 nt
Filed under: uncultured Glomus
Lineage: Eukaryota; Fungi; Glomeromycota; Glomeromycetes; Glomerales; Glomeraceae
Description: SSU rRNA
Rfam family: Eukaryotic small subunit ribosomal RNA
Source: RNAcentral
UUGGAGGGCAAGUCUGGUGCCAGCAGCCGCGGUAAUUCCAGCUCCAAUAGCGUAUAUUAAAGUUGUUGCAGUUAAAAAGCUCGUAGUUGAAUUUCGGGGUUAGUAGGUAGGUCGUGCCUCAGGUAUGUACUGAUCUCACUGAUUCCUCCUUCCUGAUGAACCGAAAUGCCAUUAAUUUGGUGUUGCGGGGAGUCUGGACUGUUACUUUGAAAAAAUUAGAGUGUUUAAAGCAGGCUAACGCCUGAAUACAUUAGCAUGGAAUAACGAAAUAGGACGUUCGAUCCUAUUUUGUUGGUUUCUAGGAUUGACGUAAUGAUUAAUAGGGAUAGUUGGGGGCAUUAGUAUUCAAUUGUCAGAGGUGAAAUUCUUGGAUUUAUUGAAGACUAACUACUGCGAAAGCAUUUGCCAUGGAUGUUUUCAUUAAUCAAGAACGAAAGUUAGGGGAUCGAAGACGAUCAGAUACCGUCGUAGUCUUAACCAUAAACUAUGCCGACUAGGGAUCGGAUGAUGUUAAUUUUUUAAUGACUCAUUCGGCGCCUUACGGGAAAC